CCAGUGUGGCUACCCCGGAAGGUCACUGUCCCCAGGCUCUGUCCAGGUGGCUCAGGGGAGCAUAGAGCUCUGCCCAGUGAUGUGCAGUCCCAUUCUACAAUGUCGGAGAUGACGCUGGGCCUCGAGCCUGCACCUGCAUAUUCCUAUAGCUUCUCAGAGUCCUGUGGACAGUGCCUGAGUAGAUAAACCAUGCAGGAAACAAUC
Molecule: small nucleolar RNA, 204 nt
Filed under: Dasypus novemcinctus (nine-banded armadillo)
Lineage: Eukaryota; Metazoa; Chordata; Mammalia; Cingulata; Dasypodidae
Description: Small nucleolar RNA SNORA73 family (ENSDNOG00000042460.1)
Rfam family: Small nucleolar RNA SNORA73 family
About the family: U17 (SNORA73A and SNORA73B) also known as E1 belongs to the H/ACA class of small nucleolar RNAs (snoRNAs).
Source: RNAcentral